RNAcentral lists this unclassified non-coding RNA (357 nucleotides) under uncultured fungus. Its description in RNAcentral is "partial internal transcribed spacer 1". The record is from RNAcentral. Lineage: Eukaryota; Fungi.
GCGUGACAUGCGCGCACUUCAGGCGUCCGGCCACGGGUAAAAGUUGCAGCUCCCGCGGAUCGUCAUUCAUGACAUCGCCGGUGAGUUUUAACACGCUCUGGCGCAAUGUAAUGAGUUGCGCUCGCGCUUCGUUGGGAUCGUUUUGAUUGGCUACCCAUAAGUUUUCAUUACGGGAGAAAGGGUGGCGUUCGAGCGAAUGCGGAUGGUGAAAGCCGCGGGAGGUGCGCUGUAAUUCCAUAUCCAGCCCGCACUCUCCUUCGGUGGUCAACGCCACGCCAACCAUAUUUCCGGCGUAGGAGAUAGAAAAACCUGGCAGAUUUUUGUCACGAAACGCGGGUUUACCUUUCGCCUGAAUAA